RNAcentral lists this ribosomal RNA (459 nucleotides) under uncultured bacterium. RNAcentral describes it as "partial 16S ribosomal RNA". It matches the Rfam family "Bacterial small subunit ribosomal RNA", at positions 338 to 795 of the family's 1533-position model. The record is from RNAcentral.
CCUACGGGCGGCUGCAGUGAGGAAUAUUGGUCAAUGGGCGGGAGCCUGAACCAGCCAAGUCGCGUGAGGGAAGAAGGUACUGAGUAUUGUAAACCUCUUUUGCCAGGGGACAAAGGCGGCCACGGGUGGCCGUAAGCGGGUACCUGGAGAAAAAGCAUCGGCUAAUUCCGUGCCAGCAGCCGCGGUAAUACGGAGGAUGCGGGCGUUAUCCGGAUUUAUGGGGUUUAAAGGGUGCGCAGGCGGCGUGUCAAGCUUGCGGUAAAAUGUUGGGGCUCAACCCCGGCCGGCCGUUGAAACUGGCGAGCUCGAGUUGGAGAGAGGUAAGCGGAAUUCGUGGUGUAGCGGUGAAAUGCGUAGAUAUCACGAAGAACCCCGAUUGCGAAGGCAGCAUACCGGCUCCACACUGACGCUGAGGCACGAAAGCGUGGGUAUCGAACAGGAUUAGAUACCCCGGUAGUC